UACAGAGGUCUCAAGCGUUGUUCGGAAUCACUGGGCGUAAAGCGUGCGUAGGCUGUUUCGUAAGUCGUGUGUGAAAGGCACGGGCUCAACCCGCGGACGGCACAUGAUACUGCGAGACUAGAGUAAUGGAGGGGGAACCGGAAUUCUCGGUGUAGCAGUGAAAUGCGUAGAUAUCGAGAGGAACACUCGUGGCGAAGGCGGGUUCCUGGACAUUAACUGACGCUGAGGCACGAAGGCCAGGGGAGCGAAAGGG
This 253-nucleotide ribosomal RNA is filed under the name uncultured bacterium. Its description in RNAcentral is "partial 16S ribosomal RNA". It matches the Rfam family "Bacterial small subunit ribosomal RNA", at positions 524 to 776 of the family's 1533-position model. The record is from RNAcentral.